AUUUAUAGUAGACUUUGUAAAAAAAAAAGAGACAAACCGGAGAAAGGGGGGAUGACUUCAAAUCAUCAUGCCCAUUAUGCCAUGGGUACACACGUGCAACAAUGGACCCACCAAAGGGCUGCAAGACCGCAAGGUUUAGCCAAUCCCAUAAAUCUGUUCUCAGUUCGGAUCGCAGUCUGCAACUCGACUGCGUGAAGCUGGAAUCGCUAGUAAUCGCGGAUCAGCAUGCCGCGGUGAAUACGUUCCCGGGCCUUGUACACACCGCCCGUCACACCACGAGAGUUUGCAACACCCCGAAGUCGGUGAGGUAACCUUUAUGGAGCCAGCCGCCGUAUGGUGGGGCGCG
Molecule: ribosomal RNA, 346 nt
Filed under: Bacillus sp. (in: firmicutes)
Lineage: Bacteria; Bacillati; Bacillota; Bacilli; Caryophanales; Bacillaceae
Description: Bacillus sp. (in: Bacteria) partial 16S ribosomal RNA
Rfam family: Bacterial small subunit ribosomal RNA
Source: RNAcentral